RNAcentral lists this ribosomal RNA (278 nucleotides) under uncultured bacterium. RNAcentral describes it as "partial 16S ribosomal RNA". It matches the Rfam family "Bacterial small subunit ribosomal RNA", at positions 506 to 784 of the family's 1533-position model. The record is from RNAcentral.
UGCCAGCCGCCGCGGUAAUACGGAGGGGGUUAGCGUUGUUCGGAAUUACUGGGCGUAAAGGGUCUGUAGGCGGUCCAUUAAGUUAAAGCAAAAGUUUAGGGCUCAACUCUAAAACGACUUUUAAAACUAAUGGACUAGAGUUCAAAAGGGGAUAGUAGAAUUUCUGGUGGAGGGAUAAAAUCCGUAGAGAUCAGAAGGAAUACCAGAGGCGAAGGCGACUAUCUGGGUUGAUACUGACGCUGAGAGACGAAAGCAUGGGUAGCGAACGGGAUUAGAUA